GAUAAACGCUGGCGGCGUGCCUAAUACACGCAAGUCGAGCGAACGGACGAGAAGCUUGCUUCUCUGAUGUUAGCGGCGGACGGGUGGGUAACACGUGGAUAACCUACCUAUAAGACUGGGAUAACUUCGGGAAACCGGAGCUAAUACCGGAUAAUAUUUUGAACCGCAUGGUUCAAAAGUGAAAGACGGUCUUGCUGUCACUUAUAGAUGGAUCCGCGCUGCAUUAGCUAGUUGGUAAGGUAACGGCUUACCAAGGCAACGAUGCAUAGCCGACCUGAGAGGGUGAUCGGCCACACUGGAACUGAGACACGGUCCAGACUCCUACGGGAGGCAGCAGUAGGGAAUCUUCCGCAAUGGGCGAAAGCCUGACGGAGCAACGCCGCGUGAGUGAUGAAGGUCUUCGGAUCGUAAAACUCUGUUAUUAGGGAAGAACAUAUGUGUAAGUAACUGUGCACAUCUUGACGGUACCUAAUCAGAAAGCCACGGCUAACUACGUGCCAGCAGCCGCGGUAAUACGUAGGUGGCAAGCGUUAUCCGGAAUUAUUGGGCGUAAAGCGCGCGUAGGCGGUUUUUUAAGUCUGAUGUGAAAGCCCACGGCUCAACCGUGGAGGGUCAUUGGAAACUGGAAAACUUGAGUGCAGAAGAGGAAGGUGGAAUUCCAUGUGUAGCGGUGAAAUGCGCAGAGAUAUGGAGGAACACCAGUGGCGAAGGCGACUUUCUGGUCUGUAACUGACGCUGAUGUGCGAAAGCGUGGGGAUCAAACAGGAUUAGAUACCCUGGUAGUCCACGCCGUAAACGAUGAGUGCUAAGUGUUAGGGGGUUUCCGCCCCUUAGUGCUGCAGCUAACGCAUUAAGCACUCCGCCUGGGGAGUACGACCGCAAGGUUGAAACUCAAAGGAAUUGACGGGGACCCGCACAAGCGGUGGAGCAUGUGGUUUAAUUCGAAGCAACGCGAAGAACCUUACCAAAUCUUGACAUCCUUUGACAACUCUAGAGAUAGAGCCUUCCCCUUCGGGGGACAAAGUGACAGGUGGUGCAUGGUUGUCGUCAGCUCGUGUCGUGAGAUGUUGGGUUAAGUCCCGCAACGAGCGCAACCCUUAAGCUUAGUUGCCAUCAUUAAGUUGGGCACUCUAAGUUGACUGCCGGUGACAAACCGGAGGAAGGUGGGGAUGACGUCAAAUCAUCAUGCCCCUUAUGAUUUGGGCUACACACGUGCUACAAUGGACAAUACAAAGGGCAGCGAAACCGCGAGGUCAAGCAAAUCCCAUAAAGUUGUUCUCAGUUCGGAUUGUAGUCUGCAACUCGACUACAUGAAGCUGGAAUCGCUAGUAAUCGUAGAUCAGCAUGCUACGGUGAAUACGUUCCCGGGUCU
Molecule: ribosomal RNA, 1372 nt
Filed under: uncultured bacterium
Lineage: Bacteria
Description: bacterial SSU rRNA
Rfam family: Bacterial small subunit ribosomal RNA
Source: RNAcentral